CAUAGGUUAAUGAGGCGAACCGGGGGAACUGAAACAUCUAAGUACCCCGAGGAAAAGAAAUCAACCGAGAUUCCCCCAGUAGCGGCGAGCGAACGGGGAGGAGCCCAGAGCCUGAAUCAGUGUGUGUGUUAGUGGAAGCGUCUGGAAAGGCGCGCGAUACAGGGUGACAGCCCCGUACACAAAAAUGCACAUGCUGUGAGCUCGAUGAGUAGGGCGGGACACGUGGUAUCCUGUCUGAAUAUGGGGGGACCAUCCUCCAAGGCUAAAUACUCCUGACUGACCGAUAGUGAACCAGUACCGUGAGGGAAAGGCGAAAAGAACCCCGGCGAGGGGAGUGAAAAAGAACCUGAAACCGUGUACGUACAAGCAGUGGGAGCACGCUUAGGCGUGUGACUGCGUACCUUUUGUAUAAUGGGUCAGCGACUUAUAUUCUGUAGCAAGGUUAACCGAAUAGGGGAGCCGAAGGGAAACCGAGUCUUAACUGGGCGUUAAGUUGCAGGGUAUAGACCCGAAACCCGGUGAUCUAGCCAUGGGCAGGUUGAAGGUUGGGUAACACUAACUGGAGGACCGAACCGACUAAUGUUGAAAAAUUAGCGGAUGACUUGUGGCUGGGGGUGAAAGGCCAAUCAAACCGGGAGAUAGCUGGUUCUCCCCGAAAGCUAUUUAGGUAGCGCCUCGUGAAUUCAUCUCCGGGGGUAGAGCACUGUUUCGGCAAGGGGGUCAUCCCGACUUACCAACCCGAUGCAAACUGCGAAUACCGGA
Molecule: ribosomal RNA, 762 nt
Filed under: Escherichia coli
Lineage: Bacteria; Pseudomonadati; Pseudomonadota; Gammaproteobacteria; Enterobacterales; Enterobacteriaceae
Description: partial 23S ribosomal RNA
Rfam family: Bacterial large subunit ribosomal RNA
Source: RNAcentral